UGGUUAUCGUUUUCCCUCUGUGUAG
Molecule: non-coding RNA, 25 nt
Filed under: Cricetulus griseus (Chinese hamster)
Lineage: Eukaryota; Metazoa; Chordata; Mammalia; Rodentia; Cricetidae
Source: RNAcentral